GGGGAAUAUUGCGCAAUGGGCGAAAGCCUGACGCAGCAACGCCGCGUGCGGGAUGACGGCCUUCGGGUUGUAAACCGCUUUCAGCAGGGACGAAACUGACGGUACCUGCAGAAGAAGCACCGGCUAACUACGUGCCAGCAGCCGCGGUGAUACGUAGGGUGCGAGCGUUGUCCGGAAUUAUUGGGCGUAAAGAGCUCGUAGGCGGUCUGUCGCGUCGGAAGUGAAAACUCGGGGCUCAACCCCGAGCCUGCUUUCGAUACGGGCAGACUUGAGGAAUGUAGGGGAGAACGGAAUUCCUGGUGGAGCGGUGGAAUGCGCAGAUAUCAGGAGGAACACCAGUGGCGAAGGCGGUUCUCUGGACAUUAACUGACGCUGAGGAGCGAAAGCGUGGGGAGCAAAC
Molecule: ribosomal RNA, 400 nt
Filed under: uncultured bacterium
Lineage: Bacteria
Description: bacterial SSU rRNA
Rfam family: Bacterial small subunit ribosomal RNA
Source: RNAcentral